RNAcentral lists this ribosomal RNA (491 nucleotides) under uncultured bacterium. RNAcentral describes it as "partial 16S ribosomal RNA". It matches the Rfam family "Bacterial small subunit ribosomal RNA", at positions 29 to 507 of the family's 1533-position model. The record is from RNAcentral.
AGUGAACGCUGGCGGUAGGCCUAACACAUGCAAGUCGAACGGCAGCACAGUAAGAGCUUGCUCUUACGGGUGGCGAGUGGCGGACGGGUGAGGAAUACAUCGGAAUCUACUUUUUCGUGGGGGAUAACGUAGGGAAACUUACGCUAAUACCGCAUACGACCUACGGGUGAAAGCAGGGGAUCUUCGGACCUUGCGCGAUUGAAUGAGCCGAUGUCGGAUUAGCUAGUUGGCGGGGUAAAGGCCCACCAAGGCGACGAUCCGUAGCUGGUCUGAGAGGAUGAUCAGCCACACUGGAACUGGGACACGGUCCAGACUCCUACGGGAGGCAGCAGUGGGGAAUAUUGGACAAUGGGCGCAAGCCUAAGCCGGCCAUACCGCGUGGGUGAAGAAGGCCUUCGGGUUGUAAAGCCCUUUUGUUGGAAAGAAAAGCAGCAGGUUAAUACCCCGCUGUUCUGACGGUACCCAAAGAAUAAGCACCGGCUAACUUCGUG